GAGCUCUUUCUUGAUUCUAUG
Molecule: microRNA, 21 nt
Filed under: Ananas comosus (pineapple)
Lineage: Eukaryota; Viridiplantae; Streptophyta; Magnoliopsida; Poales; Bromeliaceae
Description: microRNA s0847_c114a
Source: RNAcentral